UUUUCUCUCGUACCAAAACUGACACAGGUGGAUGAGGCGAAUAGCCUAAGGCGCGCGAGAGAACGGUCGUGAAGGAACUAGGCAAUUUGACCCCGUAACUUCGGGAUAAGGGGGCCCUCGCCGCAAGGCAGGGCGCAGAGAAAAGGAUCUGGGAACUGUUUAUCAAAAACACAGCUCUGUGCUAAGACGCAAGUCGAUGUAUACAGAGUGACGCUUGCCCGAUGCCGGAAUGUCAAGAGAGCGGGUCAUCGCAAGAGAAGCUCGCGAUCGAAGCACCGGUGAAUGGCGGCCGUAACUAUGACGGUCCUAAGGUAGCGAAGUUCCUUGUCGGGUAAGUUCCGACGCGCAUGAAUAGCGUAAUCACUGGAUCUCUGUCUCCACGACCGACUCGGUGAAAUAGUAGUGGCGGUGGAGAUGCCGCCUACCCGCAGCAAGACGGAAAGACCCCGUGGACCUUCACUAUAGGUCCCUAUUGGCCACGAGCAUAUGCUGCGUAGCAUAGGUGGGAGGCUUUGACGACCGGGUUCCGGCCCGGUAAGAGCCAAAGGUGAAAUACCACCCUGUGUAAGUUUGUGGCCUAACUCUGAUUCCCAUGAAUCUGGGCAGAGGACAGUGGGUGCCGGGUAGUUUGACUGGGGCGGUCUCCUCCAAAAAGGUAACGGAGGAGCGCAAAGUUCGGCUCAGCACGGAUGGAAACCGUGUUUCGAGUGUAAGAGCAUAAGCCGGAUUUACUGCGAGACCGACGGGUCGAGCAGUCUCGAAAGAGGGCUCUAGUGAUCCUGCGAUCCCGUGUGGAAGGGUCGUAGCUCAACGGAUAAAAGGUACCCCGGGGAUAACAGGCUGAUCGCGCCCGAGCGUCCAUAGCGGCGGCGCGGUUUGGCACCUCGAUGUCGGCCCAUCACAUCCUGGGACUGAAGGCGGCCCCAAGGGUUCGGCUGUUCGCCGAUUAAAGUGGUACGCGAGCUGGGUUCAGACCGGCGUGAGCCAGGUCGGUCCCUAUCUGCUGUGGGCGUUGCAAGCUUGAGAGGAGUCAACCUUAGUACGAGAGGAUUGGGUUGGACAUACCCCUGGUGAUCCAGUUGCACUGCUAAGUGCACAGCUGGGUAGCUACGUAUGGCAGGGAUAACCGCUGAAAGCAUCUAAGCGGGAAGCCCCCCUCGAGAUUAGGCUUGCUGGUCGAAAGACGAAAGACCCCUGGUAGACCACCAGGUUGAUAGGCUGCAAGUGUACGGGCAGAAAUGCCUUGAGCUGAGCGGUACUAACGGUCGAAGUUCGGUCAU
Molecule: ribosomal RNA, 1280 nt
Filed under: metagenome
Description: bacterial LSU rRNA
Rfam family: Bacterial large subunit ribosomal RNA
Source: RNAcentral